RNAcentral lists this long non-coding RNA (224 nucleotides) under Elaeis guineensis (African oil palm). Its description in RNAcentral is "long non-coding RNA (EGUI_LNC022166)". Lineage: Eukaryota; Viridiplantae; Streptophyta; Magnoliopsida; Arecales; Arecaceae. The record is from RNAcentral.
CCUGGGUAUUAGAUACCGGAAGUUCUUAUCAUAUUUGCAAUUCGAUGCAGGGUCAGCAGGUCAGUAGGAGAUUUGAAGAAGACGAGAAGUUCCUGAAUGUUGGAGAUGGAAACAAAGUUCCAGUUCUAGCAUUAAGAAUCAUGAACUUUGUAAUCAAUUCUCGAAAUAUAAUUCUGAGUGAAUGUCACUAUUGUCCAAACUUUUUAUUAAAUAUUAUUUCUGUA